RNAcentral lists this unclassified non-coding RNA (25 nucleotides) under Trypanosoma grosi. Lineage: Eukaryota; Euglenozoa; Kinetoplastea; Trypanosomatida; Trypanosomatidae. The record is from RNAcentral.
ACUCUCUCUCUAUAUAUAUAUAUGU